CCCUAUGGGGUGCAGCAGGCGCGAAACCUCAGCAAUGCACGAAAGUGUGACUGGGGGACUCCGAGUGCUCAUGUAACGCAUGGGCUUUUGCCAAAGGUAAGGUCUUUGGCGAAUAAGCGGGGGGUAAUACUGGUGCCAGCCGCCGCGGUAACACCAGAGCCGCUAGUGGGGACCGCUCUUAUUGGGCCUAAAGCGUUCGUAGCCGGUCGAGUACAUCCCCUGUGAAAUCGUUGCGCUUAACGUAACGGCGUGCAGAGGAGACGGCUCGACUUGGGACCGGGAGGCGUAUGAGGUAUUCUUGGGGUAGCGGUAAAAUGCGAUCAUCCUGAGAGGACCACCUGUGGCGAAGGCGUCAUACGAGAACGGAUCCGACGGUGAGGGACGAAAGCUAGGGGAGCAAACCGGAUUAGAUACCCGAGUAGUCCUAGCAGUAAACUCUGCGAGCCAGGUGUUGCGCAUUCUACGGGAGUGUGCAGUGUCGAAGAGAAGUCGCUCAGCUCGCCGCCUGGGAAGUACGGUCGCAAGGCUGAAACUUAAAGGAAUUGGCGGGGGAGCACUGCAAGGGGUGCGGCGUGCGGUUUAAUUGUAUUCAACACCGAGCAUCUUACCAGGGGCGACGGCAGGAUGAAGGUCAGUCUGAAGGGCUUACCUGACGAGCCGAGAGGUAGUGCAUGGCC
Molecule: ribosomal RNA, 677 nt
Filed under: uncultured archaeon
Lineage: Archaea
Description: bacterial SSU rRNA
Rfam family: Archaeal small subunit ribosomal RNA
Source: RNAcentral